Molecule: non-coding RNA, 70 nt
Organism: Dallia pectoralis (Alaska blackfish)
Lineage: Eukaryota; Metazoa; Chordata; Actinopteri; Esociformes; Umbridae
Source: the annotation of a GenBank genome assembly
CUCCUGGUGGUCUAGUGGCUAGUAUUCGGCGCUCCACCGCCGCGCCCGGGUUCGAUUCCGGGCAGGGAAG